GCCCACUGACCCAACGGCAGAGGUGCGCGGUACCGGCCCGGCUCGCUCGGGAUAUCGGCCGCAGAGUUCCCCGGUUCGAGUCCGGGGGUGGGCACCA
RNAcentral lists this transfer RNA (97 nucleotides) under Streptomyces sp. SID5770. RNAcentral describes it as "tRNA-OTHER". Lineage: Bacteria; Bacillati; Actinomycetota; Actinomycetes; Kitasatosporales; Streptomycetaceae. RNAcentral also lists the same sequence under 1 other name. The record is from RNAcentral.